Mycena vitilis is the source of this 73-nucleotide non-coding RNA. NCBI's taxonomy places the organism in Eukaryota, Fungi, Basidiomycota, Agaricomycetes, Agaricales, Mycenaceae. The record is from the annotation of a GenBank genome assembly.
GUCCGCCUAGCUCAACGGUUAGAGCGUCAGACUCUUAAUCUGAAGGUAGCGAGUUCGACCCUCGUGGUGGGCU